This 292-nucleotide ribosomal RNA is filed under the name uncultured bacterium. RNAcentral's name for it is "partial 16S ribosomal RNA". The record is from RNAcentral.
GGACUACAAGGGUUUCUAAUCCUGUUUGCUCCCCACGCUUUCGCGUCUCAGCGUCAGCAACGAUCCAGAGGGCCGCCUUCGCCGCCGGUGUUCCUCCUGAUAUCUACGCAUUUCACCGCUACACCAGGAAUUCCACCCUCCUCUAUCGCGCUCUAGCUCGCUAGUUUCGGAUGCACUUCUGGGGCUGAGCCCCAGGCUUUCACACCCGACUUGACAAACCGCCUACACGCCCUUUACGUCCAGUCAAUCCGAACAACGCUUGCACCCUCCGUCUUACCGCGGCGGCUGGCAC